Anarrhichthys ocellatus (wolf-eel) is the source of this 2728-nucleotide long non-coding RNA. RefSeq lists it as uncharacterized. The transcript has 3 exons. The record is from RefSeq and is a predicted model, not a curated record. Lineage: Eukaryota; Metazoa; Chordata; Actinopteri; Perciformes; Anarhichadidae.
UUAGACAGAGUAGGGGGGGUAAGGAGGUUGGCGUCGGCGGAUCUGGGGUUGGGAGCGUGUCGAUGCAGGAGGUCCUUAAGGUAUGAAAUGGCAAGGUUGUGAACGGCUUUGUAUAUGUGAUGAGAAGAAUCUUGAACUGUAUCCUUUGCUGUAUGGGGAGCCAGUGGAGGUUUUAAAUGAUGGCAGCUGAGUUUUGGACGUAUUGUAGUUUGUUGAUGAAUUUAAGGCAAUGUAUAAUGCCCCCAAAAGACAUGACUGUGUGUUGUAUUUAGGAGCUGUUAGUGGACCUCGGCUGGGCGAGCAAAACCACAGGAAAGGUGGAGGAAGAGGAGGGAGGAAGUGCAGAGACAGAGAGAGGCAGCGGCGACGACGACUGCGAUGAUGAAGAUGGCUGUGAAGCAUCUGGUGUGGAGAACGGUGAUCAGACAGGCGAUACGUCCAGCGGUCGUAGUCCAGCAACAAAGGACAUGGCUCCUCCUCCUCCUCCUCCUCCUCGGCCCGUCCCUCCUCACCACCUCUCACCUCCACAGGUGGUAGUUCGAGGCUCGGCCCACACGUCGUCUGUUGAACCUCUGACCCUGGCGACCCUGCUGCUUCUACUGCUGUCGCUAUGGGAACACCGCUGAUCACGGAGAGACGGUCUUACAGAGACAAAAAGACUAAGAGACAACCACGAGAGCUCUGUGGUGAAGUUGAGUAUUUGUAAUUCCUGUAAGUACAGGUCAACCACUCUGAUUGUUUUUGUUUUGGGUGGGACGAGCUGUCGAUUCAUCACAGUUGCAGGUGCACUGCAUGCAUUUCUAUGUUACCUGUACUGACCUCCACACGUGUUUGUCUACGUGUAUUUAACUCUGAUAGGAUAGACUGCACAGCACUACUGACUUUUUUUUGAAAAGAGAUGUAAAUACAAAUAUAUCUAUAUUAUAUAUUUAUAUAAAGAAUUUCUAUAGAUAACAACGGCUUGAAGUGUAAAUAGAGAAUAAUAUAGAAUUGACCAGAUUGACUUAAACGUUUAGUUGUGUUUUGUUUAGUUUGACAUUGUGUGUCCCUCACAGAGACUAAGAUACAUGACAGCUAUGGUUUAAGCUGAAGGCCUCCUGAGGACGUAUUCAUUUUGAAGAGAACUCAGCAUUCGAUGGCCAAAACAAUCUAUUAUGCGACACUUCAGACCACUUACAGAUGGCCAUGUAGCAUAAUGACGAAUUGGACAGUUUGGCCUGUAGGUCUGUGCAGCUUGAAGCCCAUCCGGCACUUUUUCCACAUAAACAACAAAACGUUUGCUCAUGCAAGCUGGCGAUUUUUCAUUUUUGAAUUUCUGCAGCAAGUAUGCUGAGAGAUUUAACUGUGUAGCACAUGCUCAACAUUUUAAUUCCUCAAAAAAUGACUCUUUAGAGGUGGAGAUCUCUCCUAAGAAACCGUUUCUUCAAAUAUACCACCUUUUAUAUUAGUUGAGGGAAAACUGAGUUAACGUUGUUUUCUUCUUAAGCUGCACAGCGUGCAGUUGUAAAAGCACCAGAGGGAGGGAUGUAACAGCUUCCAUUUCAACUUCAAUUUCACUGCCCCGGCCAUCCUCGGCAGAGAGCUCCGUUAUAAAUAAAAGUAUCAUAAACAAUAAAAUGCACCUUAUACAUGAGAAAACUAAGUAUGGACCACAUGUAACAGCAACAAGACACAAUUAUCUGGCUGAACUGUCAGUGAUUUCCCAAGCUGACAUGGUCUCCAAAUGUAUUAAUACAAUGAUAAUAUUUAAGGCAUCCAACAAAACACUGCAUAUUUAUGGCAUGUGUGAUACAUGUGUUAUGAGCUUGUCUCUGUAGCCAAUGUAGACAAGAGGUGUAGUAUCAGGAGAGCCCGGAUCCAAACAUGUGAAUUAACUGUAAUUCAUGUUAAUUAUGGCUAUGAAGUCCUCCCGCCUCGCUGUUGAAUCUCAAACCCCUCAAACUGCACAGCAGGACGGACAACUGGAAUACUGAUUAAUACACUCAAAAUGGAGCAAAUGAACCCGCUGAAGGACACUGUGCAUUUCUGUCUGAUUGUGACUGACUUUCUCCUCGUAAUUUUCUCACAUUGUCCUUUGAAUAUCGCAGAAUUCUCAUAUAAAUUUAUUAUUUUGCCGAAGAAAUGUGACUGACAGUUGAGACGACAUAAAUAUAGUCGACAUGUGUGAGUUAUCUGGCAGUGAGCCCAAAUACCGUGAUAGCUAGCGCGAUGCUCUUGCACCAAUAUUUGUCAAACAAGUGUGCUAUUAUUUGAUUCAUAUUUAAACGUCAUACCCAAAUGAGAUGAGAUUUUGGAUUUGAUCCCACCCCUUCAUCUCUCACAGCUUUUCCUCUGCGACCUGAAUGAACGAAACACCGGAUGGGCUAUUCACAGACAUAUUUGAGUUUGGGAAAUGUUAACAGAAAUACAGCUGUGCUGUGUGUCAUUGUCAAAAAUAUUUAAUUAAAUGUACUUUGUCAUGGUUUAACAGGGUUUUUUUUGUGUAGAAAUCUUAAUGUUGUUGUAGCAGUAUGCAGGAACACCAGGAUGCAACAAACAGCCAGUUAGCUACAGCAGUAUGGUUUCUCUCCCCACGCUCUGAAAACCACUGUGCUUAUUUAAUUUGACUUAACCAGUGACUCUCGUGUGAAACAGAAAUAAACCUGCUGUAUUAUAUUGUGUCCUGCUACUCUGAUGUGUCAUUAAUCUUCAGCUUAAUAUCAUCAGUAAUAAAUUGUUUUCAAAUACA